This is a non-coding RNA of Pelobates cultripes (western spadefoot toad), 320 nucleotides long. NCBI's taxonomy places the organism in Eukaryota, Metazoa, Chordata, Amphibia, Anura, Pelobatidae. The record is from the annotation of a GenBank genome assembly.
CCUCAGGUGGAAGAAUCUCAGAUAUUCAGAAAGGGACUCCCUGUCCACUAGACAGCUGGUUAACUGUUUUAUAGAUGGCUUGCAUCACCCACUCAGCACAGCCCUUAAAAUAGCUAGACCUGAGUGGCAUAGCCUAACUUAUUCUGACUUUGUAAAAGGUGCUAAAGGUAUUGAAGCCAACCACCAUCCAUCUAGACAUAAAACAGCAGGUGCCACUAGACUAAUGGUAAAUCAGACGUCUAGGAGCCCCCACCGUUCAAAUCAGAGCCAGCGUACUGGGGUCCUGUAUACUGGAAUUGCAAUACAAUAGGACACAUCAG